This 583-nucleotide ribosomal RNA is filed under the name Streptomyces sp. Its description in RNAcentral is "bacterial SSU rRNA". It matches the Rfam family "Bacterial small subunit ribosomal RNA", at positions 246 to 840 of the family's 1533-position model. Lineage: Bacteria; Bacillati; Actinomycetota; Actinomycetes; Kitasatosporales; Streptomycetaceae. The record is from RNAcentral.
UUGUUGGUGAGGUAACGGCUCACCAAGGCGACGACGGGUAGCCGGCCUGAGAGGGCGACCGGCCACACUGGGACUGAGACACGGCCCAGACUCCUACGGGAGGCAGCAGUGGGGAAUAUUGCACAAUGGGCGAAAGCCUGAUGCAGCGACGCCGCGUGAGGGAUGACGGCCUUCGGGUUGUAAACCUCUUUCAGCAGGGAAGAAGCGAAAGUGACGGUACCUGCAGAAGAAGCGCCGGCUAACUACGUGCCAGCAGCCGCGGUAAUACGUAGGGCGCGAGCGUUGUCCGGAAUUAUUGGGCGUAAAGAGCUCGUAGGCGGCUUGUCGCGUCGGUUGUGAAAGCCCGGGGCUUAACCCCGGGUCUGCAGUCGAUACGGGCAGGCUAGAGUUCGGUAGGGGAGAUCGGAAUUCCUGGUGUAGCGGUGAAAUGCGCAGAUAUCAGGAGGAACACCGGUGGCGAAGGCGGAUCUCUGGGCCGAUACUGACGCUGAGGAGCGAAAGCGUGGGGAGCGAACAGGAUUAGAUACCCUGGUAGUCCACGCCGUAAACGGUGGGCACUAGGUGUGGGCGACAUCCACGUCGU